This 1647-nucleotide unclassified non-coding RNA is filed under the name Hevea brasiliensis (rubber tree). Lineage: Eukaryota; Viridiplantae; Streptophyta; Magnoliopsida; Malpighiales; Euphorbiaceae. The record is from RNAcentral.
GAAGAGAAAAGUGAAAAACAAAGCUGAGGAAUCUCAAUUGGAGGGGGAGGCUAUGUCUACACUUGUGGGCCAUACACAACGUGUAUCUUCUGUUGUUUGGCCAGAACGUGAAACAAUGUACUCUGCAUCAUGGGAUCAUUCUAUUAGACAUUGGGAUGUCGAGACAGGCAAAGAUUCAAUGAAAAUAUUUUGUGGGAAAGCUCUCAACUGUGUACAUGUUGGAGGUGAAGGUUCGGCUCUCAUUGCUGCAGGAGGCUCUGAUCCCAUCCUUAGGAUAUGGGAUCCACGAAAACCAGGAACUUCUGCCCCUAUUUAUCAGUUCUCUUCUCACACUUCUUGGAUUUCGGGUUGCAAGUGGCAUGAUAAAUCGUGGUUUCAUUUACUUUCUGCAUCCUAUGAUGGGAAAGUUAUGUUGUGGGAUCUAAGAACUGCGGUAUUGUAUACUCUUGCUCUUUUACUUUUAACUCUCCCUUUGGCUUUGCGUAUACCAAAUAAACAAGUAAAAGUGAUUUAGGUGCACUCAAUUGCAUUCUGUUCUGAAUAGCAUAGACCUAGUAAAAAAAGCAGAGAGAGAAGUGGUGUUCUGAAUAGUUUGUUGUUGUUGCAGUGGCCUCUGUCUGUUAUUGAAUCACAUGAGGACAAGGUGCUGUGUGCUGACUGGUGGAAAGGGGACAGCGUGGUCAGUGGUGGGGUUGACUGCAAGCUAUGCAUUUCUUCUGACAUUGGUGUUGUGUAAGGUAAGAAUUGUAAUACAUAUAAUUGGCUAUAUUUAUGUUAUAAAUUUAGUUUAAAACUGGCUUCCCAUCCCAUCCAUAGGAUCUGAUGUUUUCUCCACUCUUAUCUUCGCUUUCUCUGCAUAAGGAGUGUGACAGUAUUUGUGCCUCUGGUAUAGUUUGGAAGAGGUCAGGCUAUUAGAAGCUUUUUUUUUUCCUCCUCACUCUUAGAAAGAAAGAGUUAAAGCAUUUUACUUGUUUUCCUUUGUGUUUUGAAAAUAUUGUUUGAAACCAGUCACCUGUGGCACACAGCGAGCUUUGUGUAUGCGUAAGAUACAACAUGAUCAUUUUAGGUUUAUUAUUACAUUAUCUAUCUAUUGCUCAGUUCUUGAUGAGUGUAGUUACAAUCUCUAGAUUGAUAACUCCAGCAACUGAAUCCAUUGAUUGCAUACUGGAGUAUGCUUAUUUUUGAGACUGAAACUUUUAUAUUAGAUGACUGAAUAAUGUUUAAAUACAUUUGGGGAAUGACUAAUUCGUUACCCACCAAUGACUACAGUACCUGUGUCUUUUUCUAAAGUGGAAAAUUAUGGAGAAAGAUGGAAGCAACUUCUGGAGAACAUGGUUUUGCUACUGCAAGGAACAUUUUCUAGGUCAGCCUUGAAAACUCUAUAAUCGGCAGUGAGAUGGGAGAAACUUAAUUCUCUCUAUUAAAUAAGGAGCUGAAGCUGAUUGAAGGGCCCAAGUCAAUUUUGCUCAAGACAUUUUGUUGUAAUGUGCAUGCUGAAUAGUGGCAUUUCUUAUAUGAGUCGUUUCUGGGAGGAUACUGCAUAGAGAAAUUUUUUUAUAAAAUUAUUAUAUAUUCUGAGAGAAAAUUGAUUUGCCCUUUUCCCUCUCUUUUUACCUGACUGAAACGUAUGCCUUUCAUGAUGACGAA